UUUGAUCAUGGCUCAGAUUGAACGCUGGCGGCAGGCCUAACACAUGCAAGUCGAACGGUAACAGGAAGAAGCUUGCUUCUUUGCUGACGAGUGGCGGACGGGUGAGUAAUGUCUGGGAAACUGCCUGAUGGAGGGGGAUAACUACUGGAAACGGUAGCUAAUACCGCAUAACGUCGCAAGACCAAAGAGGGGGACCUUCGGGCCUCUUG
RNAcentral lists this ribosomal RNA (209 nucleotides) under Escherichia coli. Its description in RNAcentral is "partial 16S ribosomal RNA". It matches the Rfam family "Bacterial small subunit ribosomal RNA", at positions 12 to 217 of the family's 1533-position model. Lineage: Bacteria; Pseudomonadati; Pseudomonadota; Gammaproteobacteria; Enterobacterales; Enterobacteriaceae. The record is from RNAcentral.